RNAcentral lists this long non-coding RNA (468 nucleotides) under Coffea arabica (coffee). Its description in RNAcentral is "long non-coding RNA (CARA_LNC002977)". The record is from RNAcentral. Lineage: Eukaryota; Viridiplantae; Streptophyta; Magnoliopsida; Gentianales; Rubiaceae.
AAUACCAUCUUUUUCAGAUACAACAAUCAGUAUAUAAUCAUUAAGCACACACUAAUCUGCUCGAUACAUGUGUGCUUGUUAAAUUGAUUGAAAUUUAAAUUCUUGAACCCAAAAACAAAGAAAGAAAAGGAAAAAAAAAAGAAAAAAAGAAUCGGGGUAUGGUAGAGGCCCCUGGCUCUACCGAGGUGGCUUCGUAUGGCUGCUCCAUAUGGUGAGUCAGUGACGGUAGCGAGAAUCAAGCGAGCUACUGGCUAAGGAUGGAAUUCAGUCGCCUGAUUCAGUGGGCUGCUUUUGUCAGGAGGCUGCGGCUGUAGGUGUGGAACGGGAAAAGAGUUGACAGAAAGGGAAAAAGAAAAAAUUAGGAGAAUGGAGGCUGGCGGUGAGAAUGGAGGCUGCGGGGUGGGGUAAGAAUGGAGGCUGCAGUGAGAAUAGAGGAUGGCGUCUGGCGGUGAGAAUGGAGGCUGCAGG